This 509-nucleotide ribosomal RNA is filed under the name uncultured bacterium. RNAcentral's name for it is "bacterial SSU rRNA". It matches the Rfam family "Bacterial small subunit ribosomal RNA", at positions 17 to 518 of the family's 1533-position model. The record is from RNAcentral.
UUAUGGCUCAGGAUGAACGCUAGCGACAGGCUUAACACAUGCAAGUCGAGGGGCAGCAUAAAAGUAGCAAUACUUGGUGGCGACCGGCGCACGGGUGAGUAACGCGUAUGCAACCUACCUAUCAGAGGGGAAUAACCCGGCGAAAGUCGGACUAAUACCGCAUAAAACAGGGGCACCGCAUGGUGAUAUUUGUUAAAGAAAUUCGCUGAUAGAUGGGCAUGCGUUCCAUUAGGUAGUUGGUGAGGUAACGGCUCACCAAGCCGACGAUGGAUAGGGGAACUGAGAGGUUGGUCCCCCACACUGGUACUGAGACACGGACCAGACUCCUACGGGAGGCAGCAGUGAGGAAUAUUGGUCAAUGGGCGGGAGCCUGAACCAGCCAAGUCCGCGUGAAGGAAGAAGGGUCUAUGGUUCGUAAACUUCUUUUGCAGGGGAAUAAAGUGCAGGACGUGUCCUGUUUUGUAUGUACCCUGAGAAUAAGGAUCGGCUAACUCCGUGCCAGCCGCCGC